This 294-nucleotide long non-coding RNA is filed under the name Homo sapiens (human). Its description in RNAcentral is "HSALNT0336499". The record is from RNAcentral. Lineage: Eukaryota; Metazoa; Chordata; Mammalia; Primates; Hominidae.
CACUGGUCUAGCUGUCAGGAAAUUUUUGACAACCUACUGGAGAAAAUGCGUCCGUAAGAGAAUAAUUCUACAUAUGUUAUAAUACAAUGUGGUACGGAAUCUGACAGAGGUGCUCACCAAGUGAUUUGAGAGAAUAGAAGGGUCAAUUAGUUUGACUUCAGAAGAAUGAGCUUGUCUUGAAAGGUGGGAACAAGAACAAAAAUGGCUUUAGAAUCUGCAUUCCACUGACUUUUAAAGAUGAACAGAUUAAUCGUGCAAAGUCUAGAAUGUAUUCUGAAACAUUCAAAGGAAGUG